Molecule: long non-coding RNA, 711 nt
Filed under: Oryza sativa (Asian cultivated rice)
Lineage: Eukaryota; Viridiplantae; Streptophyta; Magnoliopsida; Poales; Poaceae
Description: long non-coding RNA (OSAT_LNC000657)
Source: RNAcentral
UGAAGCAGAGGUAAUGCCCUAAAAACUGAAAAUGGUGCAAAGUCUCUGUGUCUGUUAUUUAUUUUCCCAAACAUUGUCCUCGCAAUGCACUUGCCUUUAAGUGUGGACGCACUUGCCUUUAAGUGUGGACUGAGCACAUAACACGAUGCUAUCCAGUUGCCACCAGACACUUUACAACUGGUCUGUUCUGUUUCCCUGAUGUCAGGAUCUCAUAAGGCUUCUUAUCACUAUGAUAUUACGCAAACUGCUUUUGAGUUAUCUCCGAUACAUUUUAUUGUUCUAACUACAUUUUAUAUGUCUCCAAAUUUGCUGGGUUAAGCAAGAGUUCAGUGACUAACUCUGUCUUGAUUGAUGUUGUCACUGGGGAUAGUUCCUGUAUGCGCCUAGUGUCAUCCAUUUUAGCAUGGACUUAACUUUACCUGAUUCCUGGCAAAAGCAGCGAUGUGAAAAUAUCAUCCAUGGCGUUAGCUGAACCCUUCAUGCUAGUUUUAGUGAUGGAAGUGUUUGUGUGUGUGUGCGUGCCCCUGCAUGCCCAUGCUUAUUACAAUUUCAGCCUUCAUAGCUCUUAUUUCUUUGGCCUCCUUGUUCUAGAAUUUGAGUUUUUGAAGUCAACCUAGUUCUCAGCUAUUAAUCCAUAUAUUUAUCCUCUUUAAAAAUUAAAUAUGAUAUAUAUUGACGUGGCUGCAAAAUGCAUCACUUCUUUCUUUACAG